UACGGGGGGGGGCAAGCGUUGUUCGGAAUGACUGGGCGUAAAGGGCUCGUAGGCGGCCAACUAAGUCAAACGUGAAAUCCCUCGGCUUAACCGGGGAACUGCGCUUGAUACUGGAUGGCUUGAGAUUGGGAGAGGGAUGCGGAAUUCCAGGUGUAGCGGUGAAAUGCGUAGAUAUCUGGAGGAACACCGGUGGCGAAGGCGGCAUCCUGGACCAACACUGACGCUGAGUGAGCGAAAGCCAGGGGAGCAAACGGG
Molecule: ribosomal RNA, 255 nt
Filed under: uncultured bacterium
Lineage: Bacteria
Description: partial 16S ribosomal RNA
Rfam family: Bacterial small subunit ribosomal RNA
Source: RNAcentral